Oncorhynchus tshawytscha (Chinook salmon) is the source of this 740-nucleotide long non-coding RNA. The record is from Ensembl. NCBI's taxonomy places the organism in Eukaryota, Metazoa, Chordata, Actinopteri, Salmoniformes, Salmonidae.
GUAUUAGUAACAACCAGAGGAUUGCAAUGAAACCAACCAUGACUGGAUAAACGUUUGUUUAGUGUGUGUAAUUACCACGAACGCUUCUUCCAAAGUUGAAUGAGAAGGAAAUCAUGACGCAAGCGGUUUACAAAUGUUUCGUGUUAGGCUAUAAAAAUGGAUUUUAUCAAACAAAACGAACAUUCACUGUGUAGUUAGGACACUUGGCAUUACCACCAGAGGAAGAUCUUCAAAGGAGCUGAGCCCUAGGACCAUGCCUCAGGACUACCUGGCCUGAUGACUCCUUGCUGUCCCCAGUCCACCUGGUCGUGCUGCUGCACCAGUUUCAACUGUUCUGCCUGCGGCUGUGGAACCCUGACCUGUUCACCGGACAUGCUACCUGUCCCAGACCUGCUGUUUCAACUCUCUAGAGAAAGCAGGAUCGGUAGAGAUACUCUGAAUGAUCGGCUAUGAAAAGCCAACUGACAUUUACUCCUGAGGUGCUGACCUAUUGCACCCUCAACAACCAAUGUGAUUGUUAUUAUUUGGCCCUGCUGGUCAUCUAUGAACAUUUGAACAUCUUGGCCAUGUUCUGUUAUAAUCUCCACCCGGCACAGCCAGAAGAGGACUGGCCACCCCUCAUAGCCUGGUUCCUCUCUAGGUUUCUUCCUCGGUUCUGGCCUUUCUAGGGAGUUUUUUCUAGCCACCGUGCUUCUACACCUGCAUUGCUUGCUGUUUGGGGUUUUAGGCUGGGCUUCUCU